AGAGUUUGAUCCUGGCUCAGGACGAACGCUGGCGGCGCGCCUAACACAUGCAAGUCGAACGAGCGAGAGAGAGCUUGCUUUCUCGAGCGAGUGGCGAACGGGUGAGUAACGCGUGAGGAACCUGCCUCAAAGAGGGGGACAACAGUUGGAAACGACUGCUAAUACCGCAUAAGCCCACGACCCGGCAUCGGGAAGAGGGAAAAGGAGCAAUCCGCUUUGAGAUGGCCUCGCGUCCGAUUAGCUAGUUGGUGAGGUAACGGCCCACCAAGGCAACGAUCGGUAGCCGGACUGAGAGGUUGAACGGCCACAUUGGGACUGAGACACGGCCCAGACUCCUACGGGAGGCAGCAGUGGGGAAUAUUGCACAAUGGGGGAAACCCUGAUGCAGCGACGCCGCGUGGAGGAAGAAGGUCUUCGGAUUGUAAACUCCUGUUGUUGAGGAAGAUAAUGACGGUACUCAACAAGGAAGUGACGGCUAACUACGUGCCAGCAGCCGCGGUAAAACGUAGGUCACAAGCGUUGUCCGGAAUUACUGGGUGUAAAGGGAGCGCAGGCGGGAAGACAAGUUGGAAGUGAAAUCCAUGGGCUCAACCCAUGAACUGCUUUCAAAACUGUUUUUCUUGAGUAGUGCAGAGGUAGGCGGAAUUCCCGGUGUAGCGGUGGAAUGCGUAGAUAUCGGGAGGAACACCAGUGGCGAAGGCGGCCUACUGGGCACCAACUGACGCUGAGGCUCGAAAGUGUGGGUAGCAAACAGGAUUAGAUACCCUGGUAGUCCACACCGUAAACGAUGAUUACUAGGUGUUGGAGGAUUGACCCCUUCAGUGCCGCAGUUAACACAAUAAGUAAAUCCACCUGGGGAGUACGACCGCAAGGUUGAAACUCAAAGGAAUUGACGGGGGCCCGCACAAGCAGUGGAGUAUGUGGUUUAAUUCGACGCAACGCGAAGAACCUUACCAAGUCUUGACAUCCUGCGACGGUGCUGGAAACAGUACUUUCCUUCGGGACGCAGAGACAGGUGGUGCAUGGUUGUCGUCAGCUCGUGUCGUGAGAUGUUCGGUUAAGUCCGAUAACGAGCGCAACCCUUGUCCUUAAUUGCUAACAUUAAGUUGAGAACCUUAAGGAUACUGCCGGCGAUAAGUCGGAGGAAGGUGAGGAUGACGUCAAAUCAUCAUGCCCCUUACGUCCAGGGCUACAGGCGUGCUACAAUGGCCGGUAUAAAGAGAAGCAAUACCGUGAGGUGGAGCAAAUCUCCAAAGCCGGUCCCAGUUCGGAUUGUAGUCUGCAACUCGACUACAUGAAGUUGGAAUCGCUAGUAAUCGUGAAUCAGAAUGUCACGGUGAAUACGUUCCCGGGUGUUGCACACACCGCCCGUCA
This 1374-nucleotide ribosomal RNA is filed under the name uncultured bacterium. Its description in RNAcentral is "bacterial SSU rRNA". It matches the Rfam family "Bacterial small subunit ribosomal RNA". The record is from RNAcentral.